This 480-nucleotide ribosomal RNA is filed under the name uncultured bacterium. RNAcentral's name for it is "partial 16S ribosomal RNA". It matches the Rfam family "Bacterial small subunit ribosomal RNA", at positions 28 to 507 of the family's 1533-position model. The record is from RNAcentral.
GGCGAACGCUGGCGGCGCGCUUAACACAUGCAAGUCGAGCGAUGAAACUUUAACAGAACCCUUCGGGGCGAAGAUAAAGUGGAUUAGCGGCGGACGGGUGAGUAACACGUGAGUAACCUGCCUUAGACAUUGGGAUAGCCUCGGGAAACCGGGAUUAAUACCAAAUAAAAUCAUAAUGACACAUGUCAUAACGAUCAAAACUCCGGUGGUCUAAGAUGGACUCGCGUCCCAUUAGCUAGUUGGUAGAGUAAAAGCCUACCAAGGCGACGAUGGGUAGCCGGCGGGGGGGGGAAACCGGCAACUUGGGACCUGAAAGCCGCCCAAAACUCCCAGGGGGGGAGGAGGGGGGAAUUAUGGCACAUGGGGGGAAACUCGAAUGCAGCGCCGCGGGGGAAACAGAAGGGCUUUACGAGUGGAAAUUUUUUUUAUUAGGGAAAGAAAAGGCGGUUACCAAAAAAAAAAGCCCCGCCUAACUCCGAC